Molecule: long non-coding RNA, 1041 nt
Filed under: Homo sapiens (human)
Lineage: Eukaryota; Metazoa; Chordata; Mammalia; Primates; Hominidae
Description: non-protein coding lnc-CIR1-2:1
Source: RNAcentral
AUGGGAUACAAAGUGGUCAUAUUUGACAUUUCUGUUGUCAGAGCCUUGUGGGAAACUUGUGUCAAGAAGCACAAGUUUGGCAGAAGAAGGAGGCAGAAAGUCUUGAGAAGAGUGCAUCAGAAAAGACAAAGGAGGAGUGGCCCCUUGAGGUCAAGUGCAGGAGGAAAGGCAUCUCCUGGGCUGAGUACUGGCUGGGAUAGUGGCUUCAUAGACAUUCAUAGCAUGCAGCUUCUGGAAAAGAUAGAAAGGAAAGCUCUCACAAGGCAGAGUUCACUUCCCAAGGACAGAGGCAAAUGGAGCAGUGUGUUUGUGUUUGGACUUUCUGGGGAGUACUGGACGGAGCUGCCAGAUUUGUUAAAGGAGCAGACGCACCUGAGAGAAUGGCAUGUAUGCGACACCCUGAUUCAAAUUACUCCCACAUAUAUUGAGCUGUUUCAAGCGAUGAGAAUUCAGGAUCUGCCAAAGAAACAAAUCUCACAUUUUCCAGCUAAACUCAGUUGUUUGAAGAACCUGAAAUAACUCAAUGUGAGUUUCAACUAUCUGAAGAGCAUUCCUCCAGAGCUGGGAGAUUGUGAAAUCUAGAGGGACUGGAUUGUUCUGGAAAUCUGGAAUUCACAGAGCUGCCUUUUGAAUUAAGUAAUUGGAAGCCAGUUGCAUUCGUAGAUAUCUCAGCAAACAAGUUUUCCAGUGUCCCAGUCUGUGUCCUGAGGAUGUCUAUUUGCAGUGGUUGGAUAUCAGCAACAAUAACCUGACUGCCUUGCGGCAAGAUACAGGCUGGAAGAGCCGCAGGGCUUUCUCUUGUAUAGAAGCAAGUUGACCUACCUUCCUUACCCCAUGCUUAACCUGAAGAAGCGCACCUUGUUAGUCGUCAAUGGGGACCACUUGGUGGAGCUUUCAGCUGCUCUUUGUGACUCCUCCACACCUUUAAAAUUUGUAAGCCUUAUAAACAAUCCCCUCAUGAAAGCCUAUAUUGAAGAUCUUAAGGAAAGAGAAUCUGUCCCAAGCUAUACCACCAAAGGGUCUUUUAGCCUUCAACUUUGA